Anas platyrhynchos (mallard) is the source of this 815-nucleotide long non-coding RNA. RefSeq lists it as uncharacterized. Lineage: Eukaryota; Metazoa; Chordata; Aves; Anseriformes; Anatidae. The record is from RefSeq and is a predicted model, not a curated record.
UAAGUGGAGCACAAAAUGUUCCAGGAGUGCCCAACUCCUAGAAAAAGGCAGCCAGUCUUUGCUAAGAGCAGCAGGCAUGAGACUAUGGCCUGGAAAUUGAGGAAGAAAGAAAUUGAAAGAGAUAUGGCCCACAGAAAGACCAAAAACAACUUCCCUCCUACCACCCCCACUGAGCCUUAAGAAGGGAUUCUUCAUUUUAUUGUGUUCAUCUAGCAUCGCCGUGACUCUCAUGAAAUCAUGAUUUCAGAUACAAGGGGAAAGUAAGAGAGGAAGACGAGGAAAUGGACAGGAACGGGAGGAAAAGAAGAAUAACAAUGCAGUGCUUUGAAAAGUACACAUGCUCCCGAAGUGAUAUUUCCUCAAGAUCCUGUUUGCAGCACCUCCAUGUACAACCUCUCGUUAACCUUCCAUGAAGGUAAGGAUCAGGUAAGUCCAGUUUAGGUCAUGCUUUACCAGUGUGUGUCAAGGGGGACAACAGCAUGACAAAAUUACUUCCAGGUUUAAUUUCUCAAAGUGCCUAAGAUGGUGGCAAUACUAGGAAUGUGUUGUGUUGCCUGGCACAGAAACUGCAUUCUUGUAAAAUUAUCUGGCUAUGAAAUAAAUUGGAAGAGCAGCUGGAUGAAGUCCCCUUUGCUCUCUGGUAAUGACCCAAGACACUAGCACUAGGGAGUGUGUAACCAUGCCUCUGUCUCUGUUCAUUCCAUGUUCCCCUUUGUAUUUUAACAGAUCUUGUAUGAUAUCCAACAUAAAGCAGCAAACUAAAAGCUAGUGAUAGCAAGUGUCUGUUAACUUAGACACAGAUAUGUGUAAAUUUA